This 253-nucleotide ribosomal RNA is filed under the name uncultured bacterium. Its description in RNAcentral is "partial 16S ribosomal RNA". It matches the Rfam family "Bacterial small subunit ribosomal RNA", at positions 524 to 776 of the family's 1533-position model. The record is from RNAcentral.
UACAGAGGGUGCAAGCGUUAAUCGGAAUUACUGGGCGUAAAGCGUGUGUAGAUGGUUUGCUAAGUCAGGUGUGAAAUCCCUGGGCUCAACCUAGGAAUUGCAUUUGAUACUGGCAGACUAGAGUGCGGUAGAGGAUGGUGGAAUUCCCGGUGUAGCGGUGAAAUGCGUAGAUAUCGGGAGGAACAUCAGUGGCGAAGGCGGCCAUCUGGACUGACACUGACACUGAGACACGAAAGCGUGGGGAGCAAACAGG